CCUACGGGAGGCAGCAGUGGGGAAUAUUGGGCAAUGGACGCAAGUCUGACCCAGCAACGCCGCGUGAAGGAAGAAGGCUUUCGGGUUGUAAACUUCUUUUAAGGGGGAAGAGCAGAAGACGGUACCCCUUGAAUAAGCCACGGCUAACUACGUGCCAGCAGCCGCGGUAAUACGUAGGUGGCAAGCGUUGUCCGGAUUUACUGGGUGUAAAGGGCGUGCAGCCGGGGAGACAAGUCAGAUGUGAAAUCCACGGGCUCAACCCGUGAACUGCAUUUGAAACUGUUUCCCUUGAGUGUCGGAGAGGUAAUCGGAAUGCCUGGUGUAGCGGUGAAAUGCGUAGAUAUAAGGAAGAACACCAGUGGCGAAGGCAGAUUACUGGACGAUAACUGACGGUGAGGCGCGAAAGCGUGGGGAGCAAACAGGAUUAGAUACCCCAGUAGUC
This 442-nucleotide ribosomal RNA is filed under the name uncultured bacterium. Its description in RNAcentral is "partial 16S ribosomal RNA". It matches the Rfam family "Bacterial small subunit ribosomal RNA", at positions 338 to 795 of the family's 1533-position model. The record is from RNAcentral.